AUGCGUAGGGGGCGAGCGUUGUCCGGAAUGAUUGGGCGUAAAGGGCGCGUAGGCGGCCCGGUAAGUCUGGAGUGAAAGUCCUGUUUUUAAGAUGGGAAUUGCUUUGGAUACUGUCGGGCUUGAGUGCAGGAGAGGUAAGUGGAAUUCCCAGUGUAGCGGUGAAAUGCGUAGAGAUUGGGAGGAACACCAGUGGCGAAGGCGACUUACUGGACUGUAACUGACGCUGAGGCGCGAAAGUGUGGGGAGCAAACAGGAUUAGAUACCCUGGUAGUCCACACUGUAAACGAUGAAUGCUAGGUGUAGGGGGUAUCGACCCCUUCUGUGCCGCAGUCAACACAAUAAGCAUUCCGCCUGGGGAGUACGGCCGCAAGGUUGAAACUCAAAUGAAUUGGCGGGG
RNAcentral lists this ribosomal RNA (397 nucleotides) under uncultured bacterium. RNAcentral's name for it is "partial 16S ribosomal RNA". It matches the Rfam family "Bacterial small subunit ribosomal RNA", at positions 523 to 918 of the family's 1533-position model. The record is from RNAcentral.